Molecule: long non-coding RNA, 269 nt
Filed under: Nicotiana benthamiana
Lineage: Eukaryota; Viridiplantae; Streptophyta; Magnoliopsida; Solanales; Solanaceae
Description: long non-coding RNA (NBEN_LNC001494)
Source: RNAcentral
GAUUCCAUCUACAUAAAGAACAAAUAAAUUAUAUUAAUCAUAGUUAAUUGUGAUUGCAGCAGUAUAUAGUUCAUGUGUAUUGCAGCAGCAAGUCUGUGUGCAUUUCAUAUACUAUACUAAAAGUAGAACAACCCAAACAAUUAUUAACUAAUUAAUUGGUCAGGUGAGUAAGUCCCUGCCAAAUAUGCCAAGAUAUUAUAUCAAUCCACCACUUAUAUUGUCUUACAAAAUAUUUAAAUGAAAUACAAACUUAAAGUAAAGUCCAAGAA